This is a long non-coding RNA of Sapajus apella (tufted capuchin), 112 nucleotides long. RefSeq lists it as uncharacterized. The record is from RefSeq and is a predicted model, not a curated record. The transcript is spliced from 3 exons. NCBI's taxonomy places the organism in Eukaryota, Metazoa, Chordata, Mammalia, Primates, Cebidae.
UCAGCCUCCUGAUACUUCAGCUACAUAUGAUUACCUGAUAUUCAUUGGGCCAAAAGGUGCUCACUGCUAGCUCAGCCCGAAGCCAAUCUCUACCGGUGAAUCCAGUCACAUU